Molecule: ribosomal RNA, 492 nt
Filed under: uncultured bacterium
Lineage: Bacteria
Description: partial 16S ribosomal RNA
Rfam family: Bacterial small subunit ribosomal RNA
Source: RNAcentral
AUUGAACGCUGGCGGCCUUCUUUCCACAUUCAAUUCGAACGUUAACAUGCCUUCGGGUUCUUACGAUUGGCGAACGGGUGAGUAAUGCAUCGGAACGUGCCCAGAGGUGGGGGAUAACGCAGCGAAAUCUUUGCUAAUACCGCAUGUGAUCUGAGGAUGAAAGCGGGGGACCAGGCAGCAAUGUUUGGCCUCGCGCCUUUGGAGCGGCCGAUGUCAGAUUAGGUAGUUGGUGGGGUAAAGGCCUACCAAGCCUCCUAUAUGUAGCUGGUCUGAGAGGACGAAAAGACACAAGGGGACUGAGAAACGGCCCAGACUCCGACGGGAGGCAGAAGUGGGGAAUUUUGGACAAUGGGCGCAAGCCUGAUCCAGCAAUGCCGCGUGCGGGAAGAAGGCCUUCGGGUUGUAAAAAGAUUUUGUACGGAACGAAAAGGCUCUGGCUAAUACCUGGGGCUGAUGACGGUACCGUAAGAAUAAGCAAAGGCUAACUACGGG